GUUCCUAUGGUUCAGUGGUAGAACAAUCACACUUUCUGGGGUAAACCUGAGUUCGAUUCUCAGUGGGGACA
Molecule: transfer RNA, 71 nt
Filed under: Clytia hemisphaerica
Lineage: Eukaryota; Metazoa; Cnidaria; Hydrozoa; Leptothecata; Clytiidae
Description: tRNA-Lys for anticodon UUU
Rfam family: tRNA
About the family: Transfer RNA (tRNA) molecules are approximately 80 nucleotides in length. Their secondary structure includes four short double-helical elements and three loops (D, anti-codon, and T loops).
Source: Rfam by way of RNAcentral